UUUUAACUUUUGCUUUAUCCUAUUUAUUUACCCCUGUAAAAGCUACGGUUACUUUGGAAAUCCCAAAUCAGGCAAGGAGACAAAGACGAAGCAACUGAACACUAUUAAAGAAACACGAAGACAACGCCAUUGAAGAAGCACAAGCCUUUUUUAGGACGAAAAUGAAAAGCCAUCAACUUGCAACGUCGAAUACGAAGAACGAAGAAUUCAAUGUAUGAGAGGAAACCCAAAGAAGGACAUGCUAGAUUUUAGCCAAAGAAAAGCAAUGCUGAUGCAACUAAUGUGCAAGAUGUUGUACAAGCUGAUGCAUGUAAUAUUCAAGUUGAUGAAGGGAUUGAUGCAGGUCCAUAUGAGAGAGUAAAAUACCAUGUUCAUGCUGAGACUAAUACAAUCCAAGUUCAUACUGAGAUUGAUGUAAUCCAUGUUGAUGCUGAUAUUGAUGCAAGUCAAGCUGAAUCAUGUGUGUUUGACACAAGUCAGGUUGAAGGAAGUCAAGCUCAACCAAAACAGAAGAAGCAUUAAAAACCUAUUUUGAGGAUGAUAAAAAGGCAAAGUGAAAUAUUAAAUUUGAAAUGGUUUCAAAAACCAGUUACAGGUCAAGGUUCAACUUCUCACCAAUCCAUCACAUUGACAAAGCAUGAUGCGGGAACUUCGACACAUAGAACUGAUUCAAAGCCAGGGGUGUGUACCAGAUCCUUUAAAUCUUAGAAGAAAAAUAAAUGACAGAGCAUGGUUAUAUCGUAUUAAGGAACUUUGUAACAACUAGUAUGUUUAAGCUAUGUCUGUAUUAAGGAACUUGGUUAUGUUUGUAUUAAGGCACUUAGUUAUGUCUUAAAUCUGAUGCACUUUAGGUGCCAUUUUGUAAUGAAAUUGUAAUUUAGUUGUAAUGACUUAUGAACUUUAUGUACUUCUUACUAUCUAUGUCUUAUUUUGGUUA
Molecule: long non-coding RNA, 937 nt
Organism: Lathyrus oleraceus (garden pea)
Lineage: Eukaryota; Viridiplantae; Streptophyta; Magnoliopsida; Fabales; Fabaceae
Exons: 2
Source: RefSeq, a predicted model, not a curated record